GAUGAACGCUGGCGGCGUGCCUAAUACAUGCAAGUCGAGCGAAUGGAUUAAGAGCUUGCUCUUAUGAAGUUAGCGGCGGACGGGUGAGUAACACGUGGGUAACCUGCCCAUAAGACUGGGAUAACUCAGGGAAACCGGGGCUAAUACCGGAUAACAUUUUGAACCGCAUGGUUCGAAAUUGAAAGGCGGCUUCGGCUGUCACUUAUGGAUGGACCCGCGUCUGAUUAGCUAGUUGGUGAGGUAACGGCUCCCCAAGGCAACGAUGCGUAGCCGACCUGAGAGGGUGAUCGACCACACUGGGACUGAGACACGGCCCAGACUCCUACGGGAGGCAGCAGUAGGGAAUCUUCCGCAAUGGACGAAAGUCUGACGGAGCAACGCCGCGUGAGUGAUGAAGGCUUUCGGGUCGUAAAACUCUGUUGUUAGGGAAGAACAAGUGCUAGUUGAAUAAGCUGACACCUUGACGGUACCUAACCAGAAAGCCACGGCUAACUACGUGCCAGCCGCCGCCGUAA
This 515-nucleotide ribosomal RNA is filed under the name uncultured bacterium. RNAcentral describes it as "partial 16S ribosomal RNA". It matches the Rfam family "Bacterial small subunit ribosomal RNA", at positions 28 to 523 of the family's 1533-position model. The record is from RNAcentral.